RNAcentral lists this small RNA (290 nucleotides) under Gellertiella hungarica. Its description in RNAcentral is "5' ureB small RNA". It matches the Rfam family "5' ureB small RNA". The record is from Rfam by way of RNAcentral. Lineage: Bacteria; Pseudomonadati; Pseudomonadota; Alphaproteobacteria; Hyphomicrobiales; Rhizobiaceae.
CUUCCUCGAUCUGCUGCGGAGCGAUGAAAUGGAUAUGGCUGUCGAUGCCGCCCGCGGUGAGGAUGCGGCCCUCGCCGGCGAUGAUUUCCGUCGACGGACCGAUGACGAUGGUCACGCCAUCCUGCGUAUCGGGAUUGCCGGCCUUGCCGAUAGCGGCGAUGCGGCCAUUCCUGAGGCCGACAUCCGCCUUGACGAUCCCGGAAUGGUCGAGAAUGACCGCAUUGGUGAUGACGGUAUCCAUCGCCCCUUCGGCGCGGGUCGCCUGCGACUGGCCCAUGCCGUCACGGAUG